RNAcentral lists this long non-coding RNA (396 nucleotides) under Pan troglodytes (chimpanzee). RNAcentral describes it as "long non-coding RNA NONPTRT002249". The record is from RNAcentral. Lineage: Eukaryota; Metazoa; Chordata; Mammalia; Primates; Hominidae.
CCACGUUUUGCAGGCUGCCACCGUGUUGGAGGCGAGGCGAGGAAGGGAGCUGGAAUAACAAAGGGAGGUAAUGGGGUAGAUUGGAUACCUCUGGGGUCUUGGAAGAAGCUAUGACUUAUUUACUGUCUACUAUGUGCUGAAGCCACUUGCUCAGAGCCGCACAGCAAGUCCACCACCCUGAACCUCCAGAUUCCCAACUCAGCAUUGUGUCCUGACAGUGUCAUCAUAGACGGUCAACACUGUCACCUGGGCAGCACUGAAGCCCAGAGCGGGAGAGACUGGCUCAAGACCAUGGCCUCUCCUGGUCUGACAGUCUCAGAUGCAGUCAUGGAUGGCUUUCUGGAGGAGGUGGUACCUGGUCUGUGGGAAGUAGGGGUCAGCAUCCUGGUCUCCGGG